Molecule: ribosomal RNA, 449 nt
Filed under: Spironucleus sp. 149 ND-2016
Lineage: Eukaryota; Fornicata; Diplomonadida; Hexamitidae
Description: SSU rRNA
Rfam family: Eukaryotic small subunit ribosomal RNA
Source: RNAcentral
GCCAGCAGCCGCGGUAAUUCCGACACAGGGAGUUUUCCAUUUGGUUGCUGCAGUUAAAAAGUUCGUAGUUUACUGACUCUUUCACUAUAAGCAAAGCCGAAUGCUCCAAGUUUUUUAGCAGUAUUUAUAGUAUGAAAUUAUAGCGCGGCAUUGAACGUAGUUUGGGGUACUCGAUAGGGACAGGUGAAAUAGGAUGAUCUAUCGAAGACCCACGGUAGCGGAGGCUCCCAACGAAGUCCAAGUGUCACGAUCAAGAACUAAAGUCAGGGGAUAGACGACGAUUAGACACCGUUUUAUUCCUGACCCUAAACGAUGUCGCCUAGCUGAUGGGAAUUUUUUCAUUUGCCAAGAGAAAUCGUAAGGUUUCAGACUCUGGGGGAAGUAUGAUCGCAAGGUUGAAACUUGAAGGGAUUGACGGAGAGGUACCACCAGACGUGGAGUCUGCGGCU